CCACAGCCGUGUGACAAUUCAACAAGCCAUGCCGUGACGAGCAAGGAACAAAGAAGUUUGUGGGGAAAACGCAAGGGGAAGAAAUUGAAGAAAGGUUGCUUCUUUGGCACAGAAAAUCCCUGAUCUGCUGAGAUGUUGACAGUCUUUUGCUCAGUCACACUGAUGUCAGCACUCUUUCAGAAAACAGCUUCCCAGUUCAGCUUUAAAUGCUGAACCUGCCAACAGUUUGUUGACUUAGUAGAUGUAAUAACCAAAGUCGACCAGCUGGGGGAGUCUAGCGGUAGUGAGCCAUAGUAAAGAACACGGAACUUCCUCCUCGGUCGAUACACGCAGUAGCAGAAGAAAGAGCGUCUCUGUGGCUCAUUUAUCAAAUUAUUUCCCUUUUCAGUCCCCCUGAUGGCCGUCCACCACAGUCAGCUCUGAGCCUGGACGCAGGAAUGGGAAGGCUGGCGGCGAACUGAUUUCUUACGGCUUGCCAGCUGCUCUCCUCCUGUUUGGUUUGAAAGUGUGACUGAGGUGUGAUUCAGGACUUUUCCCCACCUGAGCUGUGGAUUCCCGCUGCUCCUCCAGAGUUUCCAUAGGCCUCUCUUCUCAGCUACUCCUCUGGGAAAGUGAUGAUAUGAAAAUGGAAAGAAUACAACUGCAAGACUACCAAGACAUUGACAUCCACCUAAGCACUGGAGGAGCUACAGGGAUCCACUGCUCAGGUGAGAAGAUAUGUUGUAAUUGACAGCCAUUAGUUGUGCACUACAGAACUGUGGUGUUAAUGGCACAAAAACCAUUCUUAAAGGGACAUAGUGCCAUUUUACAACACAAUCCAGUAACUAUGUCACCUUCAGUUGUUAUAAAAGUGCUGCAUAUGUCAACACGACUUGAACAAAAUUUGACUUUUGCAAUUCAUUGCUUUGAAAUUGGCCUUCUGUUUGUUUAAGAAGCUCUGACAGUCUGUCAUCGCAACAGCGUUUCUCCAUUAUGCCGUUUGCAACGUUUUUUUUAGGAGCUUCGGAGUCAGAAGUAGAAGUGAACCCAGCAGACUCGCAGUCCCAACAGGUGUUUGCUAAUUGCUGCUGCCGCUAGUCUGGAGGGGCCUGAGCGAGGAAGGUGCUUCAUUGAAUCCUGAACGAUUCAAGGAUUGUCCCAGAAAUGCACAAAAUAUUCAAGGCAACACUCCAGGGAUGUUUGUGAUGAUGGAAUAGCAUAAUAACACGAUCGAAAAAGAAGAUUUUACAUCAUACAGCCCCUUUGACAGAAUGCCAUAAGAAGUCCCGUUAGCAAUUUGUAGGAGAAAGAAAAACAAGUGGAAGACGGUUCUCUGGUUAGACGGGAAAAAUAUUAACUAUUUUAGCCUGUGUGCAGAGAUAAGAUGGAUUAUGCAAAACACGUGGCAGUUCUAAGAAAUUCAGGCUGCGAGAGACUUUAAGACUUGAGCAGAGGUUCACCUUCCAGCAAAACAGCAGCUCUACACAUAAACCCAGAGCUAGCAAGGAUUGGUUUAGACCAGAGCGUGUUGACAGAAUAGAGCGGCCCAAUCAAAGCCAAGACCUAAAUCUAGGGAAGACCUUAAAACCUGCUGUUAACAGGUGCUCUCAGGGCAGUCUGACUGAGCUUGGGCAUUUUUUUUUUUUUUUUGGCAAAGAAAUUUCACUGUGCAAAAACACAUCCCAAAGCUGCAACUGCAUCAAAAGGCACAUCUACAAAGCAUUGAGUCAAGGAGCAGCUGAGUACAAAUGUGAGACGAACUUUCCAUUUUUAUAUUUAUGAAAAACGUGCAGGAUUUCCCAGUGUUAAAAUCCCAGUAAAACGCAGUGAAGUAUGGGGCUUUUAAAGAGACAAACGCCGCAUUUUCCAAGUUUGAGCCAAUGGGAUGAAGUCCCUCUGCCGUGUUAGCAGUCACCACACAAUCCAGUCACAAGUAUGACAGGAUCUGAUGCUCCCCGCAUACUAAUCCCCGCAAACCUGCAACACCGACUUAUUUUAUUUCCCUGCGACGUGUUUGUUUUCAUAAACCAGCCUCUCCACCCACACCUCCCCCUACAUUCCCAACUUUUUUUUUUUUUUUUUUUUGAUGUCUCUCUCAUCGGACCCCCCCCCCGGAGUCGCUCCUCACGCGUGACCGGGGGCCGGGGGUGCGCGCGCGCUGAGACGCAGCCCCGAAUUAGAGGCGAAACAAAACGCAACUUAUUCCGCUUCAAAGAGACGAGACGGCAGAAAACCCGAAGGUUUCGCGACGCCGACGUGAGGCGCGUCUCGCCGUGGACUCUUGCAGCUGUACAUUGAACAUAACGUGGCUUAAGAAGCUGGCUGCUGGUGUAAUUCAUCAUCCUUACCAGGCAUUAGGAAGAUGCGACGUGAUUGGAGGCAGGGAGGAAAAGCAACGCUCUUGCACAGCUCGGUAUUCAGCUGAGGACUUUGUAAAGUGUAGAGGGGGGCACAGGGGUCACGAGGUGUGCGUGUGUGUGUGUCUGAGCAUUUUUUUGUGUGUUUUUCUGCGUGUCUGUGUGUGUGUGUAUGAGAGAGAGAGACGGCAGCAUCACCAGUCCUCCAGGGCUCAGCAGGCUAAUUAAUAAUGAAUCCCAGAGAGUCUGUGUUUGAAAUGCAGAUGUGCAACUGCCAGCUCCGCCUGCUCCUUCAGAGGGACCUGUCGGUUCAUGUGUGUGUGUGUGUGUGUGUGUGGGUGGAUGGGUGGGUUUGUGUGCUCCACAGGGGGAAAGUAUGUCGGCUGGUUGUUUAGCAGUGGCAGAGAACUUGCUCACAUCCUGCACGAAACUCACGGGGGCCAUUCAUUAAACAUCGACCACAUUUUUGACUUUUGAGCGAGAUUUCUCCAGGAGGCAGCCACAGGAGGAAAGCUGAUUUCAUGUGGGAAGUUUUUGCAACAACUUUGGCCUCUUUUUUUCUUUUUCUUCUUCUUCUUCAUUUGGCUCCGAGGUGC
Molecule: non-coding RNA, 2932 nt
Organism: Poecilia reticulata (guppy)
Lineage: Eukaryota; Metazoa; Chordata; Actinopteri; Cyprinodontiformes; Poeciliidae
Source: RefSeq, a predicted model, not a curated record